UAAAUAACCAAAAAUAUAAUCCAAUACCUUCUACCUCAAAAUUUCGCAUCAGAUUCACCACUUAUCUUGUAUUAUGUGUUGUCUACCUUAGGAAUGCACCAUGCACCUAGCUAUGGAAGGUGAGAUCGUAUUUCACAAGUAGCCAAGAAAUCCUACUAGGUUUCACCCAUACGAGAAGAAUAUAAUCUAAAUUUUAAUUCAACAGUGCUUAAUAUACUUUUCUUAGUAUUCUUAAUUAUACAUAAAUCCCAAUUACAUUGUUACUUUCAUAUUUAAGCAAUUAAGAUUUUUCUUGUAAAUUCCAAUCUUAAUCAAUGAACUUUAAUAGGUUGUAACAUCCAAUCCGACUAUCCACUUGAUGUGGAAUUUUGCAUGCAAUUUUUAAUAUAAGUCUUCUAUAUGCUCAAGAAUUUUUAGCCCAAUCCAACUUACAAAUUGUGAGAAAACCUCCAAAAAUUGCAUUGAUGUCACUCAGCCACCAACUUCAAAAGCAUAGCAGAAAUCCUAGCAAUGAUUUUUUCCUUUCUAAUAAUUAACUUUGUCUCAAAAUUCGUAUGUAGCUUUAUCUUUAAGUCCUUCAACACUGUUCCAAUUUUCAUCCUAGUCCAACUAAUAGAUCUUUAGAUAUCAUAGAAAUCCUACUCAACCUCAAAUUGCCACUUUAUGAAAUCCUCUUGUACUAAAAAUUAGAUAUCUCAAAACCACGCCAUUAGAUUAUCAAAAAAAAAUUUAUAAACUUAGCACAUCCAAUAAUUCAAAUAGUAUCAAAUUUUUGAAUGUAGAUGUUAGACCAAUUGUACGAACUAGCCAAAAUUACUAGCUCAAAUUAUAUUAUAUAAAAUCCAAAUCACUGAUACAAAUCCUAACUUCGAAUAACAAUUGCUAAAUCUUGAAAAAUCCUCCAAAAAUAAUCCUUAU
RNAcentral lists this long non-coding RNA (918 nucleotides) under Physcomitrium patens. RNAcentral's name for it is "long non-coding RNA (PPAT_LNC005875)". Lineage: Eukaryota; Viridiplantae; Streptophyta; Bryopsida; Funariales; Funariaceae. The record is from RNAcentral.